GCCGCUCUAAAGCUGUGGGCCGUACCACACGGGAGGCGUGCAAGGGAGCGGGAGAGGGUGGAGCAAGGACCCAAUUGGUCCGAAGAGCUAAAUAGGGAACUUUGGAGACAGCCCCAGAGAUUUGAGAGCGCUACAACUACGCGCUCCGUAAACAAGAGGGUGGAAACCGUCCCGAACCACUCCGCCCAGAAACGGGGAAAACGAACCAAUGGGCGCCGGGAAUACGUAAGGAACAAACAUCCUCCAAUCCCUGGCCGAGGCGUAACCCUUCAGCCAAUCCGAGACUAGGGGCCAAACCAAUAGGCUCGCUGUUGGAGGGGGUGACUCGGAGAGCAUCCCGGGAAGCAAGUCGUUUCUAGAAAGCCAAGAGGGAAAACAAGGCAGAAAUAAAAAGGUCUAUUUCCCGUAGGACUUCGCUCUAGCCCUGAGUUAUUUCAUCCCCCAUCACUCCUGGGGGUACUGUCGUUCCGAAGUUCUGGAAGACCGACUUUCCACCCCGGAGGAAAAAUCAAGCCUGGCCAGGAGUGGUGGCCCUGAUUCCGGCUUCACUGAGAAAGUGAAAAACAUCCAACUCCAGCACCCCCUGCCACUCUUCUCAAAGAAAAUGAGGAGAAUUUGUCACCCGCAGACAUACCAAAAAGAAUAUUUUCCAAACAAAGAAAACAAAAAAGAAAAUUGGAACAUCAGAAAAAAAGAAGGAACAUAAUAAGCAAAAAUACUGGUAUGUACUAUAGACUUUCCUUCUCUUCUUGGGUUUUCUAAAUUUCUAAAUUUACAGUGCAAGCAAAAAUUAUAAUACUGUUUGAUGUGGUUCUAAAUGUAUGUAGAGUAAGUGUUUAAGACAAUUAUAUUAAGAGGGAGGGCAACACAUAAAGGGAGAUAAGCUUUCUAUACUUAACUUGAAUUGGUAAAAGGACACUAGUAGACUGUGAUAAGUAUGUAUAGUGUUAUACCUAGAGCAACCACUAAAAAAAAAAUUUGCAAAGAGUAAAAUUAAAAAUACUAUAGAUAAGGGGAAAAUGGGGAGUUACUGCUUAAGGGGUACGGAGUUUCUGUUUGGGAUGAUGAAAAAGUUACUGAAAUGAAUAGUGGUGAUGGCUGUACGACACAGUGUACUGAGUUGCAUAUUUAAAAUGAUUAAAUAUGGGAAAUUUUAUGUUAUGUAUAUUUUGCCAAAAUUUUAAGCAUAGGUAAUUAAAAUAGCUAAUUAAAAAAAAACAUAGCAGUGGUAAUCAUUUUGCAAUAUAUAAGUGUAUCAAAUCAACAUGUUGUACAUCUUAAACUUACAGAAUGUUAUAUAUCAAUUAUAUCUUUGUAAAGUUGGGGAAAAACACUAUAGAUAAAUCAAAAUGUAAUUCUUCCAAAAUGUUCAAGUAGGAACUUCCCUGGUGGCACAGUGGUUAACAAUCUGCCUGCC
This is a long non-coding RNA of Aethalodelphis obliquidens (Pacific white-sided dolphin), 1417 nucleotides long. RefSeq lists it as uncharacterized. Lineage: Eukaryota; Metazoa; Chordata; Mammalia; Artiodactyla; Delphinidae. The transcript has 3 exons. The record is from RefSeq and is a predicted model, not a curated record.